UACGUAGGGGGGCAAGCGUUGUCCGGAUUUAUUGGGCGUAAAGAGCGUGUAGGCGGCCAAGCAGGUCCGCUGUGAAAACUCGAGGCUCAACCUCGAAGAGGUCGGUGGAAACCGUUUGGCUAGAGUCCGGAAGAGGAGAGUGGAAUUCCCGGUGUAGCGGUGAAAUGCGCAGAUAUCAGGAGGAACACCGGUGGCGAAGGCGGUUCUCUGGGCAUUACCUGACGCUGAGGAGCGAAAAGUGUGGGGAGCGAACAGG
RNAcentral lists this ribosomal RNA (256 nucleotides) under uncultured bacterium. RNAcentral describes it as "partial 16S ribosomal RNA". It matches the Rfam family "Bacterial small subunit ribosomal RNA", at positions 524 to 776 of the family's 1533-position model. The record is from RNAcentral.